AAGGGCGAAAGUGUUUUUUGUAAACAAACUUGUUUCGCUCAUUAGUCUGCUGCAGUGUGGAAUUUCAUGAAAAAUAUGCGUUAAUGUAAAUUUUUACCCUUCGUAGAAGUAAUUUCAAUUGUUUUCUGCUUUGAAAUUAUAGUAAAUUAAGAGAAACCAUCAAAAUAAAAGUUUGUUUACAAAUCUUAUUCGCCCUUUUGUAAAUUUAAUAUGGAGUUGACUAUAAAUAUUGCAUUAUUCAACAAUCUGUUUUCAACUAUAGUAUACCAAGAAGCGCAGUGCUAGUUCAGCAACACAGAAAUAUACCUCAGAAGAAUCAACUUUCACCGCUGACCAGUGCGGUCGAGAAAAUUUCCGGCGAAUCCAAUGCAGCAACAACGUCCACUUUCAGUACCGCAAUACAAAGCGAUCCAACAGCGUGGGAAAUUUUAUCGCAAAAUUUUAUAUCAGCGCAACAGCUAUGUAUACCAAAAGCGAUACCACGUCGAUGGCCGAAAUGAUUUUUGGUUCUGCACCUAUAGUCUUCCAGGACAGCAGUUUGAAGCCAACAGUAGCAGCAACAGCAGUAAAAAAGUAUCCACUUCCACCUACUUGGGCUAUGAACUGCCAAGUAUCGGUCAGAAUGCACUAUACAACGGCCGACAUACGUCGGAAAGUGAUCGUAGCUCCAUAGGUACAACGUCACUACGGUCGUUUACUGUUACUUCGUCCACUUUGAUGUAAUAUGAUACUUCGUACAACCACAGACAAAGGCCACCACUGCCAAUCGAGUUUGCGCAUUUGGAGCAUCUGGCAGAUCCGAGACUUUCAACCAAAAGUGGCCUUGACUCAGGGUAUGGUGGAACGGAACCUUGGGCGUUUUCAUCAAGUCAACCACGCCAUCGCACCGAAACAGUCUAGCAUCAAUUUCUAGUGAUUUCGAGUGUUUUCGAAGACUUAGUUUAGAUACCAGUAUUGAUAUUUCACAGUCUCUGAAUUGCACAAGUUUAGACGACUAUAGUCAGUAUGGCAGCUUUCAUCGAGGUCAAUACGACCGGUUCGGUGAACAUUAGCAGUCAAGUGACAGCGAGCGAUGGUUGCGCCGGUGGUAAAAAUCGACGGAAUAGUGAAACCAUAGUACUGACUAGACAAAAAGCGUUUAGCGGGGAAGUUCUUUCCACUGCAACCAAUUAUCACGGGAGACCUUUGCACAAAAAGGCACGUCUA
Topomyia yanbarensis is the source of this 1206-nucleotide long non-coding RNA. RefSeq lists it as uncharacterized. The record is from RefSeq and is a predicted model, not a curated record. The transcript is spliced from 3 exons. Lineage: Eukaryota; Metazoa; Arthropoda; Insecta; Diptera; Culicidae.